CCGCAGAGCACACACAUAUAUAUCUACCCCACACUGCAGACCUGUGCAGUCUAGCGACACAGCGUCACCCUUCACAUCUAAACUUGAACGAAAAAAAAAGACGAGCACGUUAGCCUCACUACCUUCACUUACUUGCCACCGCCCUCUUAUACAUUCUUUUCUGCUGCUGCUGUUUGGUGGCGCGCCAUAUUGUCAUCUCAAGCGCACUUCCUGGGCUCUCUCUCGCGCGCGCUCCCGAGCACACACCCCCAACUCGUGUGUCGCCCCCUCCCUCCUAGCGAGUCAUUCGAGGCGAGCCUACAUAUAAUCCUCCUUUGUCUCCCCACUCCUCCUCACCCCACCCCCUACAGCCUGCAGUGCUCCUCUUCUUUAGGGCCUUUUUCGCUACUGUGUCUGCGUCUGGCUUUCCGUUUUAGUUCCCAUCGUUUUUGUUCUUUGUUGUUGCUCCUCCCUGUCUCUGUGUGUGCCCUGUGCACUGCACUCCACAGGGCUCUCUUUUCCUGUCUCCUCAGUGUGUCCUGCCGAGGCGGACUUGCUCGAGAAACAUCAGCGGGCACUCGCCCAUCGGCUGCAGCUCUACCCACUUCCUCACUACACGCACUUACAAGUGCACCAAGCUUCAGAGAAAUGAUCCAGAGUGCGCGGUCCGUCGGCGACUCCAGCUGGGACAGCCAUCGGCAGACGAACCGCAUGGACAGCAUCGUCAACAGGGACAUAGACAUUCGUGGCAGUUUGACGGCGAAGCAGGACGAUACGGUUAACAUCAGUGACGCGAACGGCGCAGCCAACAUGUACGAAAGCAGCUACUUGAACGAAUUUGAGUACACCCCGACCCCCUUCAACCCCCGUCGCGUCAGCCGCUGCCGCAUUGAGAACUUUGUGGCUCUGGCCACGCUGAUUUUGAUGCUUGUAUUAUCGGCCUUAGCCCUCAUCACCCCGCUGUUCUACUACAGAUCUUCCACCGCCACCGUCCGCGUUGACAGCGUGAACGUCUGGGGCACCGGGGUGGAGGGCGUAAGGCAGCGCUACAAUGUCCACACAAUCUUCUGCGACAACUAUGCCGCCAAGUCGGAUGGGUACCUGGCUUUGUACAUCCUGCUUUUCCUCAUCGCCUGCGUCGGCCUGUUCUUGUCGUUGUUCCCCAUCAUCUGCGGCCGCGUGUUGAUCUGCACCUACCUUGUCCACACGCUGUUGUUUUUGUGUUGGUUCUUUGUCAUGGUGGCCAUGAUUUUGGGAGUGCAGAUGUACCGCGAGAAUUUAUGCCACAGCACAUCGCUAAAGAACAUCGGCUUCCGCUACGGCCCUGCGUUCGGCGUGACGGCCGCCCUUUUCUCUCUCCUCUCCAUCACGAUGAUCUUCUUAGCCCUACGCGCCAUCAGGAAUCCGUUUUAGUACCCGCACUAGAUGGGCGAGAAGGACCCGAAUGCGGAAGGAAAGGAUGACGCAGGAAGUGGGAAGGCUAGGGGAGACAGGUCAUACUAUGCCUUCACGUCUACUCACUCCUCAGACUCGCGCGCGCACACACACACACGCUUGAGGGCAGCGGCUGUGUAUAGGCGCAACUCUACGCUGUCCCUCCGAUGUGCAGACGGGCUAUGAUCGCGACGCUGUCGGCGACGCCAUGCUGCGCCAGAGCCACAAAACGUCUCUUGUUAUGCUUGCUUUUUUUUGCUUUUUUUUUUGCUUUCCUCCUUCUCCUUGCUUCGUUUCGGUGUCUCACCUGUGCGUCUUUCUUUUGAG
This 1740-nucleotide unclassified non-coding RNA is filed under the name Leishmania donovani. RNAcentral describes it as "gene:LdHU3.28.1530(CDS-product:hypothetical_prote in_conserved)". The record is from RNAcentral. Lineage: Eukaryota; Euglenozoa; Kinetoplastea; Trypanosomatida; Trypanosomatidae.